UACGGAGGGUGCAAACGUUGCUCGGAAUCAUUGGGCGUAAAGCGCCCGUAGGUGGUCUCGCAAGUCGGGUGUGAAAGCCCUCGGCUUAACCGAGGAAGUGCAUUCGAAACUACGAGACUUGAAUACUGAAGAGGAUCGCGGAAUUCCCGGUGUAGAGGUGAAAUUCGUAGAUAUCAGGAGGAACACCACUGGCGAAGGCAGCUCGCUGGGACGGUACUGACGCUGAGACGCGAAAGCGUGGGGAGCAAACAGG
This 253-nucleotide ribosomal RNA is filed under the name uncultured bacterium. RNAcentral describes it as "partial 16S ribosomal RNA". It matches the Rfam family "Bacterial small subunit ribosomal RNA", at positions 524 to 776 of the family's 1533-position model. The record is from RNAcentral.